This 253-nucleotide ribosomal RNA is filed under the name uncultured bacterium. RNAcentral's name for it is "partial 16S ribosomal RNA". It matches the Rfam family "Bacterial small subunit ribosomal RNA", at positions 524 to 776 of the family's 1533-position model. The record is from RNAcentral.
UACGUAGGGUGCAAGCGUUAAUCGGAAUUACUGGGCGUAAAGCGUGCGCAGGCGGUCCUGCAAGUCAGAUGUGAAAUCCCCGGGCUUAACCUGGGAACUGCAUUUGUGACUGCAAGGCUGGAGUGCGGCAGAGGGGGAUGGAAUUCCGCGUGUAGCAGUGAAAUGCGUAGAUAUGCGGAGGAACACCGAUGGCGAAGGCAAUCCCCUGGGCCUGCACUGACGCUCAUGCACGAAAGCGUGGGGAGCAAACAGG